UCCCUAGUGGCUCAGAUGGUAAAGCAUCUGCCUACAAUGCAGGAAACCCGGGUUCAAUCCCUGGGUCAGGAA
Molecule: transfer RNA, 72 nt
Filed under: Ovis aries (sheep)
Lineage: Eukaryota; Metazoa; Chordata; Mammalia; Artiodactyla; Bovidae
Rfam family: tRNA
About the family: Transfer RNA (tRNA) molecules are approximately 80 nucleotides in length.
Source: Rfam by way of RNAcentral